CUACGUGCCAGCAGCCGCGGUAAUACGUAGGGGGCAAGCGUUAUCCGGAAUAACUGGGCGUAAAGGGUGCGCAGGUGGUUUAACAAGUUAGUGGUGAAAGGCAUAGGCUCAACCAAUGUAAGCCAUUAAAACUGUUUAACUUGAGUGCAGGAGAGGAAAGUGGAAUUCCUAGUGUAGCGGUGAAAUGCGUAGAUAUUAGGAGGAAUACCAGUGGCGAAGGCGACUUUCUGGACUGCAACUGACACUGAGGCACGAAAGCGUGGGGAGCAAACAGGAUUAGAUACCCUGGUAGUCCACGCCGUAAACGAUGAGUACUAGGUGUCGGGUGAAGAACUCGGUGCCGAAGUUAACACAUUAAGUACUCCGCCUGGGGAGUACGCUCGCAAGAGUAAAACUCAAAGGAAUUGACGGGGACCCGCACAAGCAGCGGAGCAUGUGGUUUAAUUCGAAGCAACGCGAAGAACCUUACCUAAACUUGACAUACCAAUGACAGCCUU
Molecule: ribosomal RNA, 497 nt
Filed under: uncultured bacterium
Lineage: Bacteria
Description: bacterial SSU rRNA
Rfam family: Bacterial small subunit ribosomal RNA
Source: RNAcentral